This 740-nucleotide ribosomal RNA is filed under the name Phyllosticta capitalensis. RNAcentral's name for it is "partial large subunit ribosomal RNA". It matches the Rfam family "Eukaryotic large subunit ribosomal RNA", at positions 82 to 838 of the family's 3401-position model. Lineage: Eukaryota; Fungi; Ascomycota; Dothideomycetes; Botryosphaeriales; Phyllostictaceae. The record is from RNAcentral.
AGUAACGGCGAGUGAAGCGGCAAUAGCUCAAAUUUGAAAGCUGGCGUCUUCGACGUCCGCGUUGUAAUUUGUAGAGGAUGCUUCGGCGAAGACUCCUGCCUAAGUCCCCUGGAACGGGGCGUCAUAGAGGGUGAGAAUCCCGUAUGUGGCGGGCAGUCUAAGCCAUGUGAAGCUCCUUCGACGAGUCGAGUUGUUUGGGAAUGCAGCUCUAAAUGGGAGGUAAAUUUCUUCUAAAGCUAAAUAUUGGCCAGAGACCGAUAGCGCACAAGUAGAGUGAUCGAAAGAUGAAAAGCACUUUGGAAAGAGAGUUAAAAAGUACGUGAAAUUGUUGAAAGGGAAGCGCUUGCAACCAGACUCGCUCGUAGUUGCUCAGCCGGCCUCUUGGCCGGUGUACUCUUCUACGAUCGGGCCAGCAUCAGUUCGGGCGGCAGGAUAAAGGUGUCGGGAAUGUAGCACCCUUCGGGGUGUGUUAUAGCCCGGCGCGGAAUGCUGCCAGCCUGGACUGAGGAUCUCGCUUCGGCAAGGAUGCUGGCGUAAUGGUUGUAAGCGGCCCGUCUUGAAACACGGACCAAGGAGUCUAACAUCUAUGCGAGUGUUUGGGUGUCAAACCCAUGCGCGUAAUGAAAGUGAACGGAGGUGGGAACCCCUCACGGGGUGCACCAUCGACCGAUCCUGAUGUCUUCGGAUGGAUUUGAGUAAGAGCAUAGCUGUUGGGACCCGAAAGAUGGUGAACUAUGCCU